Molecule: long non-coding RNA, 228 nt
Filed under: Lathyrus oleraceus (garden pea)
Lineage: Eukaryota; Viridiplantae; Streptophyta; Magnoliopsida; Fabales; Fabaceae
Description: Pisum sativum (pea) long non-coding RNA (PSAT_LNC001823)
Source: RNAcentral
UAUGUAUUUUUUGCUUCUUCUUUUUUGAUUUUUUUUUGUUUUUUUGUUUUUUGUUUUUUUUUAACCCCAAUACAUAUAUUUUCUUUCACGCGGAUGAUCCCUGAUCGCCGCAUUUGAACCCCGACAACUUCAUAUCACUCUUGUUUGCCAAACAAUGAACCCCGUUCUCCAUUUGAACCCCAGUCGCCUGACGAUAACUCGCGAUCGUCAUUGUGAACCCCAUUCUCC